This 962-nucleotide ribosomal RNA is filed under the name human gut metagenome. Its description in RNAcentral is "bacterial LSU rRNA". It matches the Rfam family "Bacterial large subunit ribosomal RNA", at positions 1950 to 2925 of the family's 2925-position model. The record is from RNAcentral.
CCUAAGGUAGCGAAAUUCCUUGUCGGGUAAGUUCCGACCUGCACGAAUGGCGUAACGACUUCCCUGCUGUCUCAACCACAGACCCGGCGAAAUUGCAGUACGAGUAAAGAUGCUCGUUACGCGCGGCAGGACGAAAAGACCCCGGGACCUUCACUAUAGCUUGGUAUUGGUGUUCGGUUCGGUUUGUGUAGGAUAGGUGGGAGACUGUGAUGCCUCAACGCCAGUUGGGGUGGAGUCGUUGUUGAAAUACCACUCUGAUCGUAUUGGACAUCUCAACCUCGGCCCGUGAUCCGGGUUAGGGACAGUGCCUGGUGGGUAGUUUAACUGGGGCGGUUGCCUCCCAAAGAGUAACGGAGGCGCCCAAAGGUUCCCUCAGCCUGGUUGGCAAUCAGGUGUUGAGUGUAAGUGCACAAGGGAGCUUGACUGUGAGACUGACAGGUCGAGCAGGUAGGAAACUAGGGACUAGUGAUCCGGCACCGGCUUGUGGAAGCGGUGUCGCUCAACGGAUAAAAGGUACCCCGGGGAUAACAGGCUGAUCUUCCCCAAGAGUCCAUAUCGACGGGAUGGUUUGGCACCUCGAUGUCGGCUCGUCGCAUCCUGGGGCUGGAGUAGGUCCCAAGGGUUGGGCUGUUCGCCCAUUAAAGCGGCACGCGAGCUGGGUUUAGAACGUCGUGAGACAGUUCGGUCUCUAUCCGCCGCGCGCGUAGAAACUUGAGGAAGGCUGUCCCUAGUACGAGAGGACCGGGAUGGACGUACCUCUGGUGUGCCAGUUGUCCCGCCUGGGGCAUGGCUGGUUGGCUACGUACGGAAGGGAUAACCGCUGAAAGCAUCUAAGCGGGAAGCCUGUUCCAAGAUUAGGUUUCUUUUGAGGUCCCCUAUAGAUGAUGGGGUUGAUAGGCCGGAUCUGGAAGCAUCGUAAGGUGUGGAGGUGACCGGUACUAAUAGACCAAACAUUCAACACA